CAGAGACUGCAAGCGUUAUUCGGAUUCACUGGGCGUAAAGGGUGCGCAGGCGGUUGGGUGUGUCAGAUGUGAAAUCCCGAGGCUUGACCUCGGAACUGCGUCUGAAACUACUCGACUAGAGUAUUGGAGAGGGUAACGGAAUUCACGGUGUAGCAGUGAAAUGCGUAGAUAUCGUGAGGAACACCAGAGGCGAAGGCGGUUACCUGGACAAUUACUGACGCUCAGGCACGAAAGCAUGGGGAGCAAAAGGGAUUAGAUACCCCUGUAGUCCAUGCCCUAAACGGUGCACACUAGGUCUUAGCGGAUUCGACCCCACUAGGGCCCAAGCUAACGCGUUAAGUGUGCCGCCUGAGGACUACGGUCGCAAGACUA
RNAcentral lists this ribosomal RNA (372 nucleotides) under uncultured organism. RNAcentral describes it as "bacterial SSU rRNA". It matches the Rfam family "Bacterial small subunit ribosomal RNA", at positions 526 to 896 of the family's 1533-position model. The record is from RNAcentral.